RNAcentral lists this ribosomal RNA (1343 nucleotides) under uncultured bacterium. Its description in RNAcentral is "16S ribosomal RNA". It matches the Rfam family "Bacterial small subunit ribosomal RNA", at positions 28 to 1378 of the family's 1533-position model. The record is from RNAcentral.
GACGAACGCUGGCGGCGUGCUUAACACAUGCAAGUCGAACGGAAAGGCCCUGCUUUUGUGGGGUGCUCGAGUGGCGAACGGGUGAGUAACACGUGAGUAACCUGCCCUUGACUUUGGGAUAACUUCAGGAAACUGGGGCUAAUACCGGAUAGGAGCUCCUGCUGCAUGGUGGGGGUUGGAAAGUUUCGGCGGUUGGGGAUGGACUCGCGGCUUAUCAGCUUGUUGGUGGGGUAGUGGCUUACCAAGGCUUUGACGGGUAGCCGGCCUGAGAGGGUGACCGGCCACAUUGGGACUGAGAUACGGCCCAGACUCCUACGGGAGGCAGCAGUGGGGAAUAUUGCACAAUGGGCGGAAGCCUGAUGCAGCAACGCCGCGUGAGGGAUGACGGCCUUCGGGUUGUAAACCGCUUUCGCCUGUGACGAAGCGUGAGUGACGGUAAUGGGUAAAGAAGCACCGGCUAACUACGUGCCAGCAGCCGCGGUGAUACGUAGGGUGCGAGCGUUGUCCGGAUUUAUUGGGCGUAAAGGGCUCGUAGGUGGUUGAUCGCGUCGGAAGUGUAAUCUUGGGGCUUAACCCUGAGCGUGCUUUCGAUACGGGUUGACUUGAGGAAGGUAGGGGAGAAUGGAAUUCCUGGUGGAGCGGUGGAAUGCGCAGAUAUCAGGAGGAACACCAGUGGCGAAGGCGGUUCUCUGGGCCUUUCCUGACGCUGAGGAGCGAAAGCGUGGGGAGCGAACAGGCUUAGAUACCCUGGUAGUCCACGCUGUAAACGGUGGGUACUAGGUGUGGGGUCCGUUCCACGGGUUCCGUGCCGUAGCUAACGCUUUAAGUACCCCGCCUGGGGAGUACGGCCGCAAGGCUAAAACUCAAAGGAAUUGACGGGGCCCCGCACAAGCGGCGGAGCAUGCGGAUUAAUUCGAUGCAACGCGUAGAACCUUACCUGGGUUUGACAUGGAUCGGGAGCGCUCAGAGAUGGGUGUGCCUCUUUUGGGGUCGGUUCACAGGUGGUGCAUGGCUGUCGUCAGCUCGUGUCGUGAGAUGUUGGGUUAAGUCCCGCAACGAGCGCAACCCUUGUUCACUGUUGCCAGCACGUUAUGGUGGGGACUCAGUGGAGACCGCCGGGGUCAACUCGGAGGAAGGUGGGGAUGACGUCAAGUCAUCAUGCCCCUUAUGUCCAGGGCUUCACGCAUGCUACAAUGGCUGGUACAGAGAGUGGCGAGCCUGUGAGGGUGAGCGAAUCUCGGAAAGCCGGUCUCAGUUCGGAUUGGGGUCUGCAACUCGACCUCAUGAAGUCGGAGUCGCUAGUAAUCGCAGAUCAGCAACGCUGCGGUGAAUACGUUCCCGGG